This 68-nucleotide transfer RNA is filed under the name Rhinocola aceris. RNAcentral describes it as "tRNA-Thr". The record is from RNAcentral. Lineage: Eukaryota; Metazoa; Arthropoda; Insecta; Hemiptera; Aphalaridae.
CAAAGUUCUGAUAAUUUAAAUUAAAAUAUUAAUUUUGUAAAUUAAAUAUACCUAAGAGUUCAAAACAU